Molecule: long non-coding RNA, 231 nt
Filed under: Brassica napus (rape)
Lineage: Eukaryota; Viridiplantae; Streptophyta; Magnoliopsida; Brassicales; Brassicaceae
Description: long non-coding RNA (BNAP_LNC013218)
Source: RNAcentral
GUGAACUCCUCAUCUUCUUGGGAUAGGAUGUUGAUAGACCUCUUGAUCUCAAAUACUCGGCUGAUGUUGGAGAUGUUCCCAUAUAUCUUGUUAAGUGUACUCCAAAGGGCUUUAGCACUCUCACAAUAUGAGUAUGCUUCAAGAAUGGAUGGAGACAGUGAGCUGUGGAGAAUGGACAAGACCUUGAAGUCUUCUUGUUCCCACUUCUCCUUAGAUACAUAUUUGGAACCG